RNAcentral lists this ribosomal RNA (439 nucleotides) under uncultured bacterium. Its description in RNAcentral is "partial 16S ribosomal RNA". It matches the Rfam family "Bacterial small subunit ribosomal RNA", at positions 339 to 795 of the family's 1533-position model. The record is from RNAcentral.
CUACGGGUGGCAGCAGUGGGGAAUAUUGGACAAUGGGGGAAACCCUGAUCCAGCAAUGCCGCGUGGAGGAUGACGCAUUUCGGUGUGUAAACUCCUUUUAUAUGUCAAGAAAAUGACGGUAGCAUAUGAAUAAGCACCGGCUAACUCCGUGCCAGCAGCCGCGGUAAUACGGAGGGUGCAAGCGUUACUCGGAAUCACUGGGCGUAAAGGACGCGUAGGCGGGUUGGAAAGUCAGGUGUGAAAUCCUACAGCUUAACUGUAGAACUGCACUUGAAACUUCUAAUCUAGAGUAUGGGAGGGGGAGAUGGAAUUAGUGGUGUAGGGGUAAAAUCCGUAGAUAUCACUAGGAAUACCUAAAGCGAAGGCGAUCUCCUGGAACAUUACUGACGCUAAGGCGUGAAAGCGUGGGGAGCAAACAGGAUUAGAUACCCUAGUAGUC